GGCGCAGCUCUACACGCGGGGUCCCUUCUGCAGAGUGGAUAGGAUUACUCCCUUCUUUGGAGAGGAAGAAAAUCCGGCUUAAUGAGGUUAUGAGUCAAGAUGGCCAAGGAAGCAAUCAGCUGAAAAUGGAUCUAAAUAUAUGGAACUUCAAUCAGGGAUCAGGGAUGGAUUCUGAGCAAUAAUUUUACAUCCAAAAGCACGGCUUGAGAACUGCUGUAGAAGAUUUGCUGGAACUUUGGAUAUGUCCUCUUGGGAAACUGCUAUCCUGCCUGCUUCAGUCCUAAGAUAAGGAGCCCCCAAAAGGUCUGGAUGGUAACGUGGAGAAUGAAGGCCUGAUUUGGAUGCAAUCUGUCUUCACCUUGCUACUGGGCUUUGGGUGAAGGUUGGAAAAUGUAACACUCGGGAUGCAUGAAAAACAGCACUUUCACGUCAUUUAC
Hipposideros armiger (great roundleaf bat) is the source of this 437-nucleotide long non-coding RNA. RefSeq lists it as uncharacterized. The record is from RefSeq and is a predicted model, not a curated record. Lineage: Eukaryota; Metazoa; Chordata; Mammalia; Chiroptera; Hipposideridae. The transcript has 4 exons.